AUGUUCAGCUUCACCCUUAUAAAUUCCCUCACCUGGACAAGGCUCGCAGGUUGUAUAAUCUGUUGCUUAGUAAUGAAUGGCGUGAGAAGUAUGGCGACUGAGAAUACAUUCUCAAUGAUACCUCAGCCCGAUGGAAGCGUAACUAACUUCACUGGGAAUCGCAUGUGGGAAGUUUUUUCACCUGGGAAAAUGAUGGAGGGUGAUGUAAUUGACUUCCUCAUUGAUGAUCGGAAGCAAGAUCCCGAUAGAAAUGCUGAUUUCGCAUCUGGGAAAAGGAUAUUGUUGAGUCCAUAUUUCAUCACGGUUGUGCUUGACUGUUUGUUUUACGAGGAUGAAAAUAAAGUGUUUAAUGUGGAGAGUGCAGCGAGAGAUUUCAAGAGCUAUGUUAAAGCUAAUGAAGACUUGCUCAGUGCCGACCUUAUCACGAUGCCUCUAUUCAAGCCUAUGGUUUUAUCAAAGGAUAGGAAAGUGAGCCACUAUUCCUUAUAUGUCAUGAAUCGGUACCGAAGUAGCGUUGACAUCCUUGACUCUUUACCUUAUCCGAAGAACCACCGUCCUUCGAAGAACACCUAUCACAAAGACUACGAGAAGAUUUACAAUGCAAGCAAGCAGCCCAAUUGGGAGCUGUUUGCAAAGAAACCAAUGUUUGUCAAGGUUCCACUUCAAGGGUCGAAUGAAUGUGGCCAUUAUACUCUGAAGUAUGCGGGAUGCUAUGAUGGUGAAAAGAUCGUUGAGAACAUUCAAGAUAAUGACCCACGCAUUGUUAAUUGGAACGCUGAGGAUCUGUAUAGAGUUGUGUUCAACCGUAAUAACCAUCUUAUGGUGACGGAGCUUCCCAAGGAGGUUCAGGCUUUGGCUCCUGAUGCAUAG
Molecule: ribosomal RNA, 870 nt
Filed under: Triticum aestivum (bread wheat)
Lineage: Eukaryota; Viridiplantae; Streptophyta; Magnoliopsida; Poales; Poaceae
Description: partial small subunit ribosomal RNA
Source: RNAcentral